This 477-nucleotide ribosomal RNA is filed under the name uncultured bacterium. Its description in RNAcentral is "partial 16S ribosomal RNA". It matches the Rfam family "Bacterial small subunit ribosomal RNA", at positions 30 to 507 of the family's 1533-position model. The record is from RNAcentral.
AUUGAACGCUGGCGGCAUGCCUUACACAUGCAAGUCGAACGGUAACAGGUUAAGCUGACGAGUGGCGAACGGGUGAGUAAUGUAUCGGAACGUGCCCAGUCGUGGGGGAUAACUGCUCGAAAGAGCAGCUAAUACCGCAUACGACCUGAGGGUGAAAGCGGGGGAUCGCAAGACCUCGCGCGAUUGGAGCGGCCGAUAUCAGAUUAGGUAGUUGGUGAGGUAAAGGCUCACCAAGCCGACGAUCUGUAGCUGGUCUGAGAGGACGACCAGCCACACUGGGACUGAGACACGGCCCAGACUCCUACGGGAGGCAGCAGUGGGGAAUUUUGGACAAUGGGCGCAAGCCUGAUCCAGCCAUGCCGCGUGCGGGAAGAAGGCCUUCGGGUUGUAAGCCGCUUUUGUCAGGGAAGAAAAGGUUCUGGCUAAUACCUGGGACUCAUGACGGUACCUGAAGAAUAAGCACCGGCUAACUACGUG